Triticum dicoccoides is the source of this 1704-nucleotide long non-coding RNA. RefSeq lists it as uncharacterized. The transcript has 6 exons. NCBI's taxonomy places the organism in Eukaryota, Viridiplantae, Streptophyta, Magnoliopsida, Poales, Poaceae. The record is from RefSeq and is a predicted model, not a curated record.
UCUUCCCCACGCACGAGCGGGGAUACCGCCGCCGCCGCCUUCCUCGCGGAGUCUGCGGCCGAAGGAUCGGUUGGGACGCACCGGGUCUGCGGUGCGAGCUCUCGGCUCGGGGCAGGAGGCGGCUCGAUGACGAGGAGCUGGGGCGCGGCGCUCCUCUCCUGGUGUGGCGCACGAGGGAAGGAGGAGGGGAUCGAUCCAAGACGAGAGCUGAGGCCGGCGGCGCCCUUCACACAAGCCUCACCGGCAGUUCCCUGUACACAAGCCUCACCGGCGAUGCAGCGGGAGAGCUCCGACCCGUCCAUAGGUGCGGGGAUGCAGAUCCGUGUCGCCAGCCUGUACUAGGCCGAGGUUGACGCGCCGGCGCAGGGGUCACCGUCCAUCUUCGCCAGGCCUCCAGAGUACUCCAGCAACAGCCACUGGACGGCAGGUAAGCAUGCAUUGUAUGACCUUAGCUAAUUGCGUACAUACAAGUUUGGAUGAAUUCCAAGAGAUGGAGCACUCUAUCCAAAUAGGAGAAGUGUUAGUGAGUACAAUUUCACAAUGGUUUUCAUGGGGAGCAAAAUAAUUACCUGCGGCAAAUUUAGGUUCUAGAAUUGACAUAUAUUCAGUUCCUUUUUUUUAUAAAGAGAGCUCCCUCUUCGAUUUUCUUUAGAGGAAAUCACCGUGUCUUACCUAUAUUCAGUUCCUGGAAGAACAAAGAAGUUGCAUGUCCUUUUAGUCUGAAAAUCACAUUGAUCCUUGGAGCAUGAUGGGGACAAAUCGCACAUAUGUCCUGUACUGCACACACAGGCAAAGGAUUUUUCUGAAUGCCAUUGUUGUCCGGUACACAGUGUUUAUCAGUGAGUAAUUUGCCCCUUUCGCAAUGUGAUGAUACUGGCAAUAAGGGAAGCAUCAUAUACCAUUGGUUUUGCUGAACUAGAAAUAACACAACUACAUAUUGAUUUUCUGCUUAAAUUUCACAAUAGAUAUUUUGCCGGAUGACCCACUGUAUGAGGAUGCCACAUCCUUUCUUGCUCACCCAACACACGGCAUUCCUGUAUGUCGUUGUGUGCUUCUCAGUACAGUAGAGGUACCACACGGGGUGGUGACUGGGAGGCUGGUACAUGCUAGCACGGCCAAACAGCUGGUUCACUGCGAUCAGGGUGCUAGAGGCUCUUGGGGUUGCAGCCCGCUCGCCUGCUGGAGGUACAAUGUUGAUUAUUUAGAGACCUCAUCUUCAUGAGACUAGCAAGGGAUGGACAUUCUGAAGAAGAAGAGAUGAGGUGAGUUUCUGAAGUUCACCGUCCAAUCCAAGUAUUAAAGGUCCCUGCACUUCCGUUGACGAGUAUUUUGUCAGCAUCUCGAUGCGGAGGACCACAGCGUUGUAGCGCCCUUGGCUCAAGGUGACCAUCUUCAGCGCAUCGUGGUGUCGCUGCCCACACGAUCUCUACAGACACCACAAAAGGCUACAGGACCGACGAGGCCGGUGGCCUGACCACCGAAUCAUGUUGUCGCGCGGGCGCCUUGAUCUAUAUGUGCCUCCUCCGUCUCUUAUUCCCUGGAACGUAAUUUGAUGACUCAUUGAUGUCACACUCGCUUAGGAUUAAACUGCACAGGUUAGAUUGACAUUUUGCCCUGUGUUUAAUUACUACAUGCACUGCACGCUGAUUCAUGUAUAUAUUGGCUCCCCUAUAUAUACCUCUAUUGGUGAAAAGUUUUGACUUU